RNAcentral lists this unclassified non-coding RNA (82 nucleotides) under Flavobacterium swingsii. Its description in RNAcentral is "Flavo-1 RNA". The record is from RNAcentral. Lineage: Bacteria; Pseudomonadati; Bacteroidota; Flavobacteriia; Flavobacteriales; Flavobacteriaceae.
GCUUUGCGUGAGGGAUUGAAAUGAAAAGCCCACAGCCUGACGAAGGAAGUGCGAGGACUUGUAAUGGAAAGCCCGACCCUUU